RNAcentral lists this ribosomal RNA (421 nucleotides) under uncultured bacterium. RNAcentral describes it as "bacterial SSU rRNA". It matches the Rfam family "Bacterial small subunit ribosomal RNA", at positions 362 to 775 of the family's 1533-position model. The record is from RNAcentral.
UAUUGGACAAUGGGCGCAAGCCUGAUCCAGCCAUGCCGCGGGUGUGAAGAAGGCUUUCGGGUUGUAAAGCACUUUCAGUGAGGAAGAACGCUGUCGGGUUAAUACCCCGGCAGAGAGACAUCACUCACAGAAGAAGCACCGGCUAACUCCGUGCCAGCAGCCGGAGUAAUACGGAGGGUGCAAGCGUUAAUCGGAAUUACUGGGCGUAAAGCGCGCGUAGGCGGCGUGAUCAGCCGGUUGUGAAAGCCCCGGGCUCAACCUGGGAACAGCAUCCGGAACUGUCACGCUAGAGUGCAGGAGAGGAAGGUAGAAUUCCCGGUGUAGCGGUGAAAUGCGUAGAUAUCGGGAGGAAUACCAGUGGCGAAGGCGGCCUUCUGGACUGACACUGACGCUGAGGUGCGAAAGCGUGGGUAGCAAACAG